GAUGCCAUUAGGCCUUGAACUUUUUGGCGAGAGGCAUAGUAUUUUGUCAACUUGGACCUUCCUGCUCAUUUUCUUGGACAAGAUAAAAAAUUUGUCGCAAUUCCAGCUACUCAAUUCCUUUGGUGCAUUGAAGUUAUUUGCAUUGAAAUAAGAUAAAAAAUUUGUGACAAUUCUAGCGACUCAAUUCCUUUGAUUCUGUGAAGUUAUUUGAAUUGAAAUAAGAUAAAAAAUUUGUCACAAUUUCAGUCACUUAAUUCCUUUGGUGCUGUGAAGUAAUUUGAAUUAAUAUAAGAGGCAAUGGAGUUGAUUCAACCUUUGUACGAUAUUGCGAAAAACAUGUGCACACCCAUUUGUAGACGUGUGGAUUAUGCAAUAAACCUGUCAAAGAAUUUCACUGAGCUGAGCGGGAGAGUAAAAAAAUUAUGCGACAGGAGGGAUGACAUUAUAUAUCAGAUUGACCUUGUUAACCUACAAAAGGGUCCUACAAGAGAAUGCAAUGGCUGGCUUGAAAGGGUGGAUGAGAUUGAUAAGAAGACGAAAGAAGAUGAGCAGCUCAUUGGCAAAAGAUGUUUUAAUGGAUGGUUUCCAGAUGUCAUUUCUCGUGUGAAGCUCGGUAAGCAUGUGGUGGAAAUGAUCGAGCAGGUUAAAGAGCUCCAAGCGGAAUCCAGGUUUGAAGAUGGUUUUGUCAUUGAUUUGCCACCAAAAAUAGUUGAGGAGAGGCCUGCUGAUGCUUUGAUAAUGGGGAAUUCAACUAAUCUCACCUUGCAAAAGAUACUAGAUUCCAUAAGAGAUGA
Molecule: long non-coding RNA, 794 nt
Organism: Cornus florida
Lineage: Eukaryota; Viridiplantae; Streptophyta; Magnoliopsida; Cornales; Cornaceae
Exons: 5
Source: RefSeq, a predicted model, not a curated record